GCCGUAGCACUGCAGCCCGUGAGCUGAGCCGCGGACAGGGAGAGCGGAAAGGAGCGUUAGCCGCGGACGUCGCACGCGUCGUCCGUUCAAACGUCAGAGAGUCAGGCUGGUUGAGAGACGUUGGGCCUCAUUCACGAAACGAAAAACCGGGCUGUGGACCAGGAAAACCGGGCCUUGGGCUUGGAAAACUGGGCCAUGGACCAGGAAAAACGGGCAAUGGACCAGGAAAACCGGGCUGUGGACCAGGAAAACCUGGCCAUGGACCAGGAAAACCGGGCUGUCCAAGAUCUCUCCGGCCCGAGGCUUGUUCUCUCUGUGCCGCGCUGGCGGAAGUGAACGGUUGAGGGGGCGUUCCGUUUCUGAGCGAGGUUUUUGCGCUUCACACACGCGCUCUCCGUAGCGCGCUCUGUAGAUAACAACAAGCGCCGUCGAACUGUGCGAUUGCCCAUCAGCCCUUGCGGUGUUUGUCUGUUGGAAGUUCCAGGAACUGCAGCAGCUCUUGACUGGCCUGACUGGUUACUGUAAGAAACAGGACUUUUUUAUUUGAAUUCACAUUCAUUUUACUUUGAGUCUAAGCAGGUCCUGACAGUCUGCUGUUCAAACCGUCAGUUAUGUCCUUCCUGUUGUACAUGCUCUGUUUUAUGUUCAGUUAUAGCAUGAUCCCAUAUUGGUUCAACAGGGCAGAGGGCAAAAAAAGACAUUUUAUCACAAUGUCCCACUGUUGUAAAAAAAAAAAAACUGUUUAAAGUCAUAGAAA
Long non-coding RNA from Anguilla rostrata (American eel), 757 nucleotides. RefSeq lists it as uncharacterized. The transcript is spliced from 2 exons. NCBI's taxonomy places the organism in Eukaryota, Metazoa, Chordata, Actinopteri, Anguilliformes, Anguillidae. The record is from RefSeq and is a predicted model, not a curated record.